This 1253-nucleotide unclassified non-coding RNA is filed under the name Bombus terrestris (buff-tailed bumblebee). RNAcentral's name for it is "misc RNA ENSBTSG00005036004.1". Lineage: Eukaryota; Metazoa; Arthropoda; Insecta; Hymenoptera; Apidae. The record is from RNAcentral.
AUUUAAUUUGUACUUUACAAUUUGUCCAGCUGGACAUUUGGUAAAUUUUCCUAACCUAAUUGCUAAAUAACAUGUGGAUGGCUACUCCCAGCAGGAUACCAUCUUCGAGUAGUCAAAGUGAACGCUUGAACUUGGUCAGAGAGUUACUCGACAAACGGGAACAACGUGUUGAGCCUCCAACUUCAUCGGCAAAUUACUCUCGGCAAACGUAUACGGCGUACGGGACUGAAACGAGCAACCGAUGCCACGAAUAAGGAGAAAGAAAGAGGCACAGGUAGAAAAAGAGGACGUGGACAACUAGAACACGACUGAGAGAAGGGCACAAUGUUCAGGUGAAUAGGAGCGAGAGAACAAGGGGGAAGGAUAUCCGACUUACUAAUUGCGACGACGUCGGUGGUCCGUAGACGCACCGCGGGCCAUGACGAAAAGCGAUAUGGCCAGAGCAGAGACCGACCAAGGCCACGCCGUGAUACAUCUCCGUGGUUAACCCGAAUCGAAAUCAUAAAUCCAGCCAGGACCGGACGAUUCGCAGCGUUUCCCUCAAGGUAGUCUGCGUACAAAAUCGCGCUUGUUUGCCGUGGCCCAAGUUAACACUUUAACUGCCACGUUGGUCGUAUAUGAUCCGCCACGAUUUCUCCUAUGACGCCACGGUGGGUCAUUGGUGUCCGGAGCGCUUGAAUUUCUUACAAUUGUAAAAAUCGUAUGAAAAUUGACAGUUAGGGCAUUUUGAAUAUAACCGAUAAAUAGAAGAUACUUUGAAAUAAAAAGUGAACGACCCAUUGAACAGUUAAACAUUUUUAUUAGAACAUCGAUAAAAAAGAAAUGAGAACAGAUUUUGCAUCGAACGGUGCACUGUGUUAAAACACUUUAAACAUAAAUGUGGCUCAUCAAUACAAUCUGGACAAUAGGUGGUCAUCUGAUAUUAGUUGUCGUUCUUAUCAGGCUCGUUGUUUUUUUGCGCCAGUUUAUUUCCAUUGCGUUACAAUGUAUCUCUCGCUCUACUUGAGUAUCUUGGAAUCUAUUAAAAGGUCCCUUUAACAAACAGAUUGUUAAUCGCAGAGGAAACUAUAUAGCACGACCAUAUCGAAUUUGCUGGUUCAACAGAACCAGCUGUAAAUGUAAUGUAUUAGGUUGUCAACUCAAUAGAUAUAGAAAAAGAAAGAAGAAAACUAGGUGGUUAAUUCUGUUAUUAGUUGUUGAGGUUAACUGAUAGAAGAACGAGUGAAUGAAUUUGUAAUAGAAAAAUAUAUUGA